Danaus plexippus (monarch butterfly) is the source of this 1445-nucleotide long non-coding RNA. RefSeq lists it as uncharacterized. The transcript is spliced from 3 exons. Lineage: Eukaryota; Metazoa; Arthropoda; Insecta; Lepidoptera; Nymphalidae. The record is from RefSeq and is a predicted model, not a curated record.
UUUUCGUUUUAUUUUUUUUUCCUAAAGUAAUAACGAUUCGAAGAUUUCUCUUUCUUUAUGCACACUUACUUUCAAUCAAUAAAUAUUUGUUAUGUUAUUGUGUUAUAUGCAUUAUAGUAAGAGAAUGACAUCAACAUGGCAGAAAAUUUUCGGUCUAUGCUUUCUUCUAGCUUUGACAUUUGCUGUCCCAAUACCUGAUGACGUAAGUUAAUAAUUUACAAAUAUGUUUUUAUGCUAUGUAAUUUACACUACUAUAUAAAAUCCCAGAAGAUAUUUGUGCGUCGGCGGCCAGGCGUGACAUAUUGCUGUAUUCACGAAUUUUAAAGCGCGUUAUGUCAAUAGAGGUUCCUUGGGAAACCAACAUUCCCAAAGACCGUGACAUCAAAGUCAACAAGUAUUACGAGCUUACUAACGAACUCAUUAGGGAUAGGCUCUUAGUAAAUUUGUAUACGGUAGAGGUGGGAGCGAGAGGUAUAACAGCUAAAUCUGUUUACAACGUAUUAAAAGACUUGGGCCUGUCCAGAACUAACAUCAAUUUGUUCUUGAAACGUACUUCGAAGGCAGCCCUAGAAGGUUCGUAUCAAAUUUGGUUAGGUAGAGAGAGGAGCUCGGACGGUAGAGGCGAGAGUUUAUCGCGUGUCCGAUAGGCCCCUUAAACCUACACCUGGGUCGCAAGUCCCAGGCACUGUUGAAGCUCCUCUCCCUGCAACGCAAUGGACCCGGCACCGGCACGGUGCUUCCAUUGAAAGCUAAGAGGUUUCCUCUCUGUCUAAUUUUGUCUAUGAUUCGUACUACAUAAAUAGCAUACGAUUUUUCAUUAUAAUUGAAAAUUACUCAUCGUUCCAGAAUCAUUAGCAAACGAUAGUUACCUUUAAAAAUUAAUCCCGUGAUUGUGUUGAAGUAUACUUGACUAGUUUGUAUAAAUAGGAUUUGGAUCUUUAUAAAAUAUCAAUCUUUUCUUCUGGUUGAUGACUAAUGAGUCAUUUGAAAAAAUAAAAGAAUUGAAUUAUAUAUAAUUUUACUUACGCCUUCUUGUUUUAAUUGUUAUCCGUGUGCUAAAUUAUUGAUACAGAGUGUUCACAUAUGAACUUUUAAGGAUCUCUGUCCGUCUUAUUUAAAAAAAAAAAGUUUUGACGUCUUCGUUUGGAUAAUUUUUUCUAUAUAAUUGUUGGCUUAAUAUAGCUUUGAUAUCUUGAUAACUUAAAAUUUAUUGAUAAUUAUUCCUAUAUAUAUUUUUCGCCAUAAUAUAGGAGAUAUCAAGAUUUCUACUUCUCUUGUUAGGAGCCAGCGAAAAGAUAUGCGACUAUGGGGAGCACUAAACUAAAAAUAAAAUGACAUUCAGUUGAUAUUCAAGAAUAUUUUUUUCACCAAAAAACAUUUUCUCAUUGCAGACGUUAGAAAUGAUGUAAUAGGUUAGAAAAUAGUUAGAGGAUAUCUAAGCUGAA